This 363-nucleotide ribosomal RNA is filed under the name uncultured bacterium. RNAcentral describes it as "bacterial SSU rRNA". It matches the Rfam family "Bacterial small subunit ribosomal RNA", at positions 1029 to 1391 of the family's 1533-position model. The record is from RNAcentral.
GUGCGACAGGUGCUGCAUGGCUGUCGUCAGCUCGUGUUGUGAAAUGUUGGGUUAAGUCCCGCAACGAGCGCAACCCUUAUCCUUUGUUACCAGCAAUCAAGGCCGGGAACUCAAAGGAGACUGCCAGUGAUAAACUGGAGGAAGGUGGGGAUGACGUCAAGUCAUCAUGGCCCUUACGACCAGGGCUACACACGUGCUACAAUGGCGCAUACAAAGAGAAGCGACCUCGCGAGAGCAAGCGGACCUCAUAAAGUGCGUCGUAGUCCGGAUUGGAGUCUGCAACUCGACUCCAUGAAGUCGGAAUCGCUAGUAAUCGUGGAUCAGAAUGCCUCGGUGAAUACAUUACCCGGACUUGUACACACC